Molecule: transfer RNA, 72 nt
Filed under: Toxocara canis (dog roundworm)
Lineage: Eukaryota; Metazoa; Nematoda; Chromadorea; Rhabditida; Toxocaridae
Rfam family: tRNA
About the family: Transfer RNA (tRNA) molecules are approximately 80 nucleotides in length. Their secondary structure includes four short double-helical elements and three loops (D, anti-codon, and T loops). Further hydrogen bonds mediate the characteristic L-shaped molecular structure. tRNAs have two regions of fundamental functional importance: the anti-codon, which is responsible for specific mRNA codon recognition, and the 3' end, to which the tRNAs corresponding amino acid is attached (by aminoacyl-tRNA synthetases). tRNAs cope with the degeneracy of the genetic code in two manners: having more than one tRNA (with a specific anti-codon) for a particular amino acid; and 'wobble' base-pairing, i.e. permitting non-standard base-pairing at the 3rd anti-codon position.
Source: Rfam by way of RNAcentral
CGGGCAGUAGCUCAGUGAUAGAGUUCCCGCUUCGUAUGGGGGAAGACCUGGGUUUAAUACCCGGCUGCUUUU